This 358-nucleotide ribosomal RNA is filed under the name Lactiplantibacillus plantarum. Its description in RNAcentral is "bacterial SSU rRNA". It matches the Rfam family "Bacterial small subunit ribosomal RNA", at positions 80 to 432 of the family's 1533-position model. The record is from RNAcentral. Lineage: Bacteria; Bacillati; Bacillota; Bacilli; Lactobacillales; Lactobacillaceae.
UUACAUUUGAGUGAGUGGCGAACUGGUGAGUAACACGUGGGAAACCUGCCCAGAAGCGGGGGAUAACACCUGGAAACAGAUGCUAAUACCGCAUAACAACUUGGACCGCAUGGUCCGAGUUUGAAAGAUGGCUUCGGCUAUCACUUUUGGAUGGUCCCGCGGCGUAUUAGCUAGAUGGUGAGGUAACGGCUCACCAUGGCAAUGAUACGUAGCCGACCUGAGAGGGUAAUCGGCCACAUUGGGACUGAGACACGGCCCAAACUCCUACGGGAGGCAGCAGUAGGGAAUCUUCCACAAUGGACGAAAGUCUGAUGGAGCAACGCCGCGUGAGUGAAGAAGGGUUUCGGCUCGUAAAACU